Molecule: ribosomal RNA, 253 nt
Filed under: uncultured bacterium
Lineage: Bacteria
Description: partial 16S ribosomal RNA
Rfam family: Bacterial small subunit ribosomal RNA
Source: RNAcentral
UACGGAGGGUGCGAGCGUUGUCCGGAAUCAUUGGGCGUAAAGGGCGCGUAGGUGGCCCGGUCAGCGUGCGGUGAAAGCUCGGGGCUCAACCCCGAGUCGGCCGUGCGAACUGCUGGGCUUGAGCACUGUAGAGGCAGGCGGAAUUCCGGGUGUAGCGGUGGAAUGUGUAGAGAUCCGGAAGAACACCGGUGGCGAAGGCGGCCUGCUGGGCAGUGGCUGACACUGAGGCGCGACAGCGUGGGGAGCAAACAGG